RNAcentral lists this ribosomal RNA (301 nucleotides) under uncultured bacterium. RNAcentral's name for it is "partial 16S ribosomal RNA". It matches the Rfam family "Bacterial small subunit ribosomal RNA", at positions 509 to 807 of the family's 1533-position model. The record is from RNAcentral.
CAGCCGCCACGGUAAUACGAAGGGGGCUAGCGUUGUUCGGAUUUACUGGGCGUAAAACGCACGUAGGCGGAUCGAUCAGUCAGGGGUGAAAUCCUGGAGCUCAACUCCAGAACUGCCUUUGAUACUGUCGAUCUCGAGUCCGGAAGAGGUGAGUGGAACUCCUAGUGUAGAGGUGGAAUUCGUAGAUAUUAGGAAGGACACCAGUGGCGAAGGCGGCUCACUGGUCCGGUACUGACGCUGAGGUGCGAAAGCGUGGGGAGCAAACAGGAUUAGAUACCCGUGUAGUCCCUGUCUCUUAUAC